UAGAUAGGCCACGGUGACGCAUUUGGCAUGGCUGCAGCUUACGAACUGUCCAUGGGUCUUGGUGGAACACGUGCUGCCGGAGAUCUGGUAGCACGUAUG
RNAcentral lists this non-coding RNA (99 nucleotides) under human gut metagenome. Its description in RNAcentral is "Pyrrolysine insertion sequence mtbB". It matches the Rfam family "Pyrrolysine insertion sequence mtbB". RNAcentral also lists the same sequence under 1 other name. The record is from RNAcentral.